This is a long non-coding RNA of Lemur catta (Ring-tailed lemur), 2569 nucleotides long. RefSeq lists it as uncharacterized. The record is from RefSeq and is a predicted model, not a curated record. The transcript is spliced from 5 exons. NCBI's taxonomy places the organism in Eukaryota, Metazoa, Chordata, Mammalia, Primates, Lemuridae.
UUGCCUUUGCGGGAGCUGCUGGAAGCGUCUGGAGCUCUGGAUGGUAACUUCUGCCGUCGCCUGAAUUCAACUUUAGGACUGGCUUUCCCAGCUCUUGGGCCUUCCCUGCUGCCCAGACGCGGCGCUGGCCGCAUAUUUGCAUAUAUUUAAACUUGCCCUGGCUCUCCUUGACAUCGUAUUAACUUGCAGGCACUGUAGGACCUCACCAUACUCUACUAUGCCUGGCCUCUGCAGCAGCCAAACUGAGCCGCUCGAGUUGCGUCAGAGCUUUAGUGAAUAAGCCAUUAAUCAGUUAUUUGAUCGUUUCAUUUUGGGGGACCUUUUCAACUACCUGUUCUCCCUCCACAACCUUGUGCUCACCCAUGACAAAGAUGAAACGAUUGUACCAAAAAAAUUCCCUUGAGAACUGGCAGGUGUAAGAGGACUCUGGAAAACAGGUCAAGAAAGAUGAGAACUGAGAAUUGACCAUGGGAUUUAGCAAUGUGGAGACUAUUGGUGAUCUUGGAAAUCCAGUCUUGCUAGAGAGGGCAAAUGACACCAUCUGGACAGUGGAAACAGCACAUGCUUGGGGAAGUCCCUGCCCCACCCCCACUCCUACCCCCACCCUGAGUAGCUUAGGCAAAGUCUCCUCCCCCUCUAAAUGAGCUUCCCUUUCUUCUGGUCUGCUUGGCUUUCAUCUUUCUCCCUUUGCUCUCUUUGUCCUGCUGAGCAGGCUGUAAACCUGCAGGUUCUGUGUUCUUGCAGUUCAGCUUUAAAACAAAAAAACAAAAACAAAAACAAAACUCUGUUGCAAUUUGUUAACUUUCCCUCCUGGAAGGCAGAAGCCAUCAAUUUUUGUGAAAGUAGCUGCUGCAAGGAGUCAGCCUUGUGAUUGCAGAAGGAAAAGAUCGAAGAGGGAAAGAAAGAGAAAGAGAUCAAGGGAGGAGGGCAAGCACAUGGGAGGGGGAGAGAGAGAGAGAGAGAGAGAGAAGCCGGCCGGCCCCCCCAGGUUGAACCAGUUACACAGUCUUUAAGAAACAGGGCUUUUUUAACAUGAAUGCAAGUACCAGCUGAGGUAUUUCCACUGCACAUUCACUACCAAGCCAAAGAUGACUAGACAUUUUUAAAGUGAUGGCAACUGUAUCCUAGAAGAUGUAGCUAUUCAGCUGUAAUGUCUCCAUACCCUACCACUCCCUCUGUUUGGAAUCCUCGUGCUCCAGUAACCUGUAUUUCGAUGGCUCUGGCCCCUGGCUUUAAACUCAAAACUCCUGCUUCCAGGCAAGAGCCUCACACCGGCUCAUUCAGGGCCCAGGAGUGUUUACCUGGAUUUACAAGCCUAGGAGAUUAUCCUGAAAGGUUUGCAAGUAUAUUCUUCUUUGGUUCCAGCCACCUUCCACCGGGUACAGCUACGUCUACUCAGUUAUGCUCUCUACUUCCAGACACUGCCCCCGAUGCUGAGAUGCCCCGGGGUAGCAAGGUGUCCUGCCAGGAGAACCGACUGAGGACCCACAGCUGUACUGCUUGAGGACAUGGCUUUACAAGGUGUCUAGUGUAGCAACUCUUCCAGUUUUCCCAUUUAUAGCAUGUUUUUGUUUUUCAGAAUUCCAAGUUCAAUUCUCCCCUCCCCUCUUUAAUUCUCUGCUCCCUUCCCCCUGCCACCUUAGGAUUCGGACAUGUGCCUGUUGGACACAAAUCUGGGUGGAAACCACUCUCUGAACUAGAGUCGCUCAAGAUGAGAGCCUCAUUUAACUAGGUCAUUCCGUUCUCUGGUUCCUUUGUUUAGGGGCCCUUAGGUGCUGCUUCUUGAGGGUGGCUUCCUGGGACAGUGACAUCCCAUGCUAAAUAACUCUUUGCUAAAGAGCUCUACGUGGAGACAAAUGCCAUCCUCUAACAUGCCCUAGGAACAAAGUAAGUAGGCCUUAUCCCUUCCCUGCUCUUGGCCUCCUGUCUGGAAAUCUGUCCCCACCACAUCUCAUUUACCCAGAAUUGAGUGGUUUGGGGGUUACUGCAGUUCCCUGGUGGCAGACAACAGUCUUUGACACAAAGGAGGAAGCAAGUUGAUAUGAAUUAUCUGGGCCCCAACCAGUGUCUUCACCUACAGCCACUUCAUCCUAAGAUUGGCCAACAUUUUGGUUCUUGGCUAGUUUCUUGGCUGGAGAGGGAGAUUCUCCUGCUUGUUUUGGAGCUACUUCUUCAUGCCUUACUCCUGAUUCUUACUGUGGGCCCAGGGUGCAAAUAACCCAGCUUUCUAACCUACUCUUUCUUUUGAGGGACAGCUUCUCUGCCUGCAUUGCACAUGGCCUGGGGGUCCUGCUCUCCCCUGGGCAAUAGUGAGCACUUAAUUCAUGCUGAGCCAGUUGGACCCUCUCCCUCCUUGGCUUUUGAAUCUUGAGUUGAAUGAUCCAAGGAUGAAAGUGAUUAUAGUAGAGAUACUCUGUCCAAGCUUCCCUUAGGGACUGCUAAUUCUUGCUUCCUGGAUCCCGGAGCUGACCUUUUUCCUGGUCUUUCCCAAAGCUAACCUAUUCUACUUUCUUUACAAUUCUGUAACUUUUCCUGUAGUCUUCCAAUAAAUCCCUUUUUGCUUACGUUA